RNAcentral lists this long non-coding RNA (2031 nucleotides) under Ornithorhynchus anatinus (platypus). RNAcentral describes it as "lncRNA (ENSOANG00000042471.1)". Lineage: Eukaryota; Metazoa; Chordata; Mammalia; Monotremata; Ornithorhynchidae. The record is from RNAcentral.
CAUCUCGGGUACUGCGAGCUCUGGGUUGGUCAGGAUUCGUGGGAGGAGUAAAGAGGGUUUGGUUGGAUUGAGGGGGUCAGUAAAGGGGUGGGGUUUGGCUCUUAACUACCAGGCGUGUCUCAGCUGUGGCUGAGAGGAGGUGCUGAACAGUAGCUGCACUGCCUUCUUCCCAGAGCUUCAACCUGCCCCGGCGUCUUUGUGGAGAAUCCCUUCAUGGAUCUCAGGAGAGGAGGAAGCCUUUAGAAUCGGUGACGCAGAACCGACAUAACGGUCCCUAAGGAACUGAGCCAAAGUGUGUGACCAGGAGGAAUAUCUUCUACCACUGGCCCAAGCGAGAAGGACUAAGAAAAGAGAGCGUCCGAUCCGAAUCCAACCAAGGGACUGUUCACAUUCAGAGUUUCAGGCUAUUGGCUGGACCGGUAACAGAUCUGGCCCUGCGAGCUUUGGAACUGAGGACCGAGACCGGAUUUCAUCAGCCAGCAAUGGAAUCUCAGGAGUCGGAAUUUGAAAUCGAGUACCUCGUGGGGCAAACUGCUGGCACCACCUCAGAGGAGCCGUCAGGAUCUUAUGCUCCCCCGGAGGAUCAGGCAUGGUUGGUGCUCAGGAUUUGGGUGGAGGGUGCCCGUGACCUAGAGGGUAACAGCAAGCCGGAUGAGGCUAAAGGGGUCGCCAUACAGGCUUUAGCAGAGGGCCUGCAUGAUUUGUGGCGUAAACUGGAAGGCAAGGACUUUUGGAUAGAAACCAUAUCAUCUUACAAUUUAGCUGAAGUGGAUAGGAAUUGGAUGGAGAAGAGGGUGGGGCUCAGCAGAGGAUGGGGCUACAUCGUAAAUAAGAGAUGGAAAGUGGACCCCAAUGGCCCCAUUAUCCGGGACCCACGUGUACUGCGGUCUGCCUUACAGACUCUAGUAGAGAGCAUUCAUGAUCUGUGGUAUCGACUGGGUCAAAGAGAAGAUUCCAAGGAUUCCCGUCCUUGGGAGUUUAUCGUAGAAACCGGAUCAUUUGUCGAUGAAUUUCCGGAUAUCCCAAUGAAAGGGGAAGGGGAGAUGGAGGAAGAGAGUGGAGAGGAAGGAGACGAAGAAUGGUGGGAAAAGGGAGCAGACACCAACGUACAUGACAUUUGGGGUCCGGGGGUGGAAGAGUCUGACAUUGACACAGAUGAGGAAUCAAACCCAGAAGAUGGGGCAGUCAUGCAUUAUUCCCACUUCAAGGCACUUGCCCUCUGGGAGAGUCCCAAGUACAUGACCGGUAAGAAGGGCAUGGCACGGGGAAUGUGGGAUUUUGAGCCACUGAAUGGUAUCCUGCGGGAAAUUGUCCCACCUGUGUGGGAAGACACCUCCGAAGCCUGGGCCCGUGAUAGCCUGGAGGCUGACCAGCAGCAGGUGACCCCCUUCCAUUUCCUCCCUAAGCAUAAAUGGUACCCCCUUCUUGAGGAGAGUAGUGAGGAAGACGUUCAGCCCAUACACAUCCUAGAGGAUCGAGGUGAUUUCAUGCCAGGGGUGUCACCCUCUGAUGCUCCACUGUGGCCAGCGAAGAAGUCGCGUGCCCCAUGGAGCUCGAGGAUUGACUCCUGGGCCUUGAGUGAGGCAACAGCCCAAUUGAUUCCAAUGGUAACCACCUAUCAAGGGUCAGAGGAUAAGGUCCCAGAGAAUGCGCCCUGGCUCCCGGGACCGAGCACUGACAAUUGGUUUUUGAGCAGACCACUAGACCCCUUCAGCCAACCUAAGAUAACCUUUACUUGGGGGAAGCAGCGAUACUGCUGGACUAGGCUGCCUUGGGGGUUUCUUCAUAACAUAGCCAUUUUUCAUCCAGCAGUGCAGGGUGUUCUCGCAGAGCUCUACCCCAGGGUGGCCCCAGAUGAGAAAGAGCUCCUCUGUUGGGGGGUUUCUGAGGAGAAGACACAAAGGGUGACCGGUAUCAUCAUCAAGAGAUUGACCGGUGUGGGCCUCAAGCUUGAUGCACACGAGGCUCAGUUGGUCCAAAGAGAAGGAGAGUGGAAGAAGGAGAAAUACUGAUGGCUUCAAAUGCCAUCAU